ACAAGUUUCCUAAUCAAGCAGCUGAGAGGGUGACUCCUUGUCAGAAGAGGAGGAUCCUGUGCAAGCACUGAGUUCUCUGGAACAUUAAAGGCGAGCCAUCGUUGAUUGGCCUCAACUCUUGUGAAGGGUCUCAUUCGCAUGAAAAUAUGCUACAACCUCUGAGCUUGUCUCUGCCGACACUCACAAAAGUAAAAGAUGUCACACAGAACACCCAAGUCCAUCAUCUUCCAUCUCAGGGACCAACGGUAAUGGCUUCAGCGGCAUCACCGUGCCCAUUGAAAGGAUGGAAAUGACAACCGAGAGCCGCAAUGUGGCCAGGCUGCAGGGGCCAGACCGAGGUUGCAUGGGCAGGGUUUCUGUUGCUGGGAUGAAGCGCCAUGACCAAAAAUAAACCAACUCAGGGAGGAAAUUGGUUAUUUGGCUUACACUUCAAAGUCACUGUUGACCAUCAAAGGAGUCAGGAUGGGAACAUAAACAAGUACAACGAAUGGAUACAACUGAGAGGCAUCAUAUGAAGAAAAGCAACUCAAACUCAACAAACAUCGCAUCCUCUCUGGUCUGUGGAUCUUACAUUUAUACAGAGACAUAAGCUCAUCAUGAGUACCUGACCUGACGUAGACAUGAACGUGUCCAGAAAGACAAAGAGGAUUAACGGGAGGCAGGAAAGAAGUCAGGGGUAGAGUGGCGUGGUCAAAGUGUAAGAUAUAUUUCUAUAAACGCAUCCUUAUGAAACUCACUGCCAUGGACAAUGAAUGCAUGCCAAUAAAAACAAAAUAACAACAAUAAAAAUAAAAUCGUUUCCCUCCGAGAGCUCUGCCUGUCUGACAGAUCCGUCAGUCUCUCUGCCACCGAACACUGA
Molecule: small RNA, 859 nt
Filed under: Rattus norvegicus (Norway rat)
Lineage: Eukaryota; Metazoa; Chordata; Mammalia; Rodentia; Muridae
Description: uncharacterized LOC108352313
Source: RNAcentral